GUCCGUUCGUAUCCGCGUUUUAUCCUAACCCCACAACUUACUUCGUUAUUUUGCUUUGUCUAACAUUUAAGUCCAAUGAUUUAACCCAUCAAGGGUUUUGUGUUGGCAAAUUAUCUGAAAGCUUGUAUGUCUUGUUGAUUGAUGUAAAUAAUUUGUUAUUUUACUCUGCCUAUACUCAUUAAGGUUAAAGGUUGUGUGUGACCUUUGGGAUUGAAAAGAGUACAACUAUUGACAGGCACUGGUUACCAAAACUCUGUUAAUUUUCUUUUAUUUUCACAGAUUCCGAGUUGUACAACAAAUUAAUCACGAAGUACAUGCCAAAGUUUCCGUAUCUUUUCCAACUUCAAGAUUCAACUACAACAAACCAUGAAAUGAAUGACUGGGAUUGAUAAAACAGCAAGAAUAUCUCUUUGUAAAUUUUGUAUUAAUUUGGAAUUGAACUGAAUGUCAUCUUACUGUACAGUUCAACAAGUUUUUGAAGACGAUCUGACGAUGUAAUUUACGUAUAGGUUACUUCUACAAACUGGAACACAUUGUAUGACAUAUUUAAAACAUAUACAGUAUGUGUGAUUUGGAUUGAGUAUUGUCCUAUAGCUAUAUUUUUCAUGUAACCCAAUAUGCUGCAAAGCACCCAAAUACGCCUGACCUUAUAAUUUACUCUGUCUAAUGUCAGACAAUUUUACUUGUCAAGGGAGACCAUUGUAUGGGUUGAGUACUACUCCCACAAUCAAAUGUUCCUCGUCAUAAAUUGUAUUGUUGAAUGUCAUAUCAGUCAUAACUCAGGGACGGAUCCCGUCUGAUUUAUUUAGGAGGUGGAGGUUUUCCAGAGGGGGUCCGGGGGCAUUCUCCCCUAGAAAAUAUUUGAAAUGUGAAGCCUGGAAAUGCCAUUUCCUGCAUUCUGAGCACUACGUUUAUUUGUUAAAUUUGUCCUCACAGUACUUGUAUUUCGGGCAAAAAUUAAGAAAAGUGCUACGUUAUAUGGUGACCCACCGUAUCGCCUACUGGUGCUCGAAUAUUUUCUCGCACACCGGUAUUCGAAAAUCGGAAUUGCGUUAAUGAGUCAGAAUAGAAAGAAUUAUAAUCUUAUUGCCUACAUGUUCAGUUUUCUCAUUUUUUGUGCUGCAAAGACAUUACAGGUGAAUAUUAGAGGGGAAUUGAUUAGAGA
This is a non-coding RNA of Paramuricea clavata, 1165 nucleotides long. The record is from the annotation of a GenBank genome assembly. NCBI's taxonomy places the organism in Eukaryota, Metazoa, Cnidaria, Anthozoa, Malacalcyonacea, Plexauridae.